This 429-nucleotide ribosomal RNA is filed under the name Chloroflexota bacterium. Its description in RNAcentral is "Chloroflexi bacterium partial 16S ribosomal RNA". It matches the Rfam family "Bacterial small subunit ribosomal RNA", at positions 355 to 776 of the family's 1533-position model. The record is from RNAcentral. Lineage: Bacteria; Bacillati; Chloroflexota.
UGGGGAAUAUUGCACAAUGGGCGCAAGCCUGAUGCAGCCAUGCCGCGUGUAUGAAGAAGGCCUUCGGGUUGUAAAGUACUUUCAGCGGGGAGGAAGGGAGUAAAGUUAAUACUUUUGCUCAUUGACGUUACUCGCAGAAGAAGCACCGGCUAACUCCGUGCCAGCAGCUGCGGUAAUACGGAGGGUGCAAGCGUCAAUCGGAAUUACUGGGCGUAAAGCGCACGCAGGCGGUUUGUUAAGUCAGAUGUGAAAUCCCCGGGCUCAACCUGGGAAAUGCAUCUGAUACUGGCAAGCUUGAGUCUCGUAGAGGGGGGUAGAAUUCCAGGUGUAGCGGUGAAAUGCGUAGAGAUCUGGAGGAAUACCGGUGGCGAAGGCGGCCCCCUGGACGAAGACUGACGAUCAGGUGCGAAAGCGUGGGGAGCAAACGGG